Molecule: ribosomal RNA, 576 nt
Filed under: Triticum aestivum (bread wheat)
Lineage: Eukaryota; Viridiplantae; Streptophyta; Magnoliopsida; Poales; Poaceae
Description: partial small subunit ribosomal RNA
Source: RNAcentral
AUGAAUCUUGUCUGUUGGGACUGCCGGGGGGCGGGGAACUCCCGGACAGUUCGAGACCUUGCAACAUUAGUUCAGUCGCUUUCCCCCACCUUGGUCUUCUUGUGUGAGACUCGCCAGUCCAAUUCCAGGAUGAAGCGGUAUCAAGCACGGCUAGGCCUGCAUGGGUUUCAUGGUGUUGAUAGUGAAGGGAACAGUGGAGGUUUGUCCCUAUUUUGGCAUGAGUCACUCUCGGUAAAGGUGGUAUUUUCAAACCAGCGAUGUAUUGAUGCUCAUAUUAAGUUGGGGCCGGAUGAACUUGAGUGGCGUCUCACUUGUGUCUAUGGUGAGCCGAGAGUAGAGAAUAGGCACAACAUGUGGUCUCUGUUACAAAUUUUAAGUGUGCAAUCAAAUUUACCGUGGAUCGUGGCGGGUGACUUUAAUGAAUGUAUAUGGGAAUUUGAGCACUUUUCUGCCACUCCAAGCGCAGCAGCGCAGAUGCAGGCAUUCCCGGAUGUGUUGAAAGUUUGUGAGCUAGUUUUCCGAAAAGGGGUUUUACCCCAGCCUCUGCAUCAGAAAGAUGCAUACGGCUCAUAUUAA